This 128-nucleotide non-coding RNA is filed under the name Bacillus cereus biovar anthracis str. CI. Lineage: Bacteria; Bacillati; Bacillota; Bacilli; Caryophanales; Bacillaceae. The record is from RNAcentral.
UAAAUGGAAUACCCCAUUAUAAUAAUUGCAAGUAAACAGUUACGAUCCUAUUCAUACACAAAUCCUCCCUUUUUAAAAAGAAACCGCUAAGUUUCCUUAGCGGUUUUAUUAAAAAUUUAUAUUUAUAA